AGAAACUUAGGAUAACACAAACCAAGGGCCUUCAAAGCCCAAAAUAGAGAUGAAACUUCUCUAGUUUCUG
Molecule: transfer RNA, 70 nt
Filed under: Stenocercus imitator
Lineage: Eukaryota; Metazoa; Chordata; Lepidosauria; Squamata; Tropiduridae
Description: tRNA-Trp
Source: RNAcentral